RNAcentral lists this ribosomal RNA (418 nucleotides) under uncultured archaeon. RNAcentral's name for it is "bacterial SSU rRNA". It matches the Rfam family "Archaeal small subunit ribosomal RNA", at positions 455 to 873 of the family's 1478-position model. The record is from RNAcentral.
GUGUCAGCAGCCGCGGUAAAACCAGCACCUCAAGUGGUCAGGAUGAUUAUUGGGCCUAAAGCAUCCGUAGCCGGCGCUAUAAGUUUUCGGUUAAAUCUGUACGCUCAACGUACAGGCUGCCGGGAAUACUGUAGCGCUAGGGAGUGGGAGAGGUAGACGGUACUCGGUAGGAAGGGGUAAAAUCCUUUGAUCUAUUGAUGACCACCUGUGGCGAAGGCGGUCUACCAGAACACGUCCGACGGUGAGGGAUGAAAGCUGGGGGAGCAAACCGGAUUAGAUACCCGGGUAGUCCCAGCUGUAAACUAUGCAAACUCAGUGAUGCAUUGGCUUGUGGCCAAUGCAGUGCUGCAGGGAAGCCGUUAAGUUUGCCGCCUGGGAAGUACGUACGCAAGUAUGAAACUCAAAUGAAUUGACGGGG